Molecule: ribosomal RNA, 469 nt
Filed under: uncultured bacterium
Lineage: Bacteria
Description: bacterial SSU rRNA
Rfam family: Bacterial small subunit ribosomal RNA
Source: RNAcentral
AAGCCAGACUCCUACGGGAGGCAGCAGUGAGGAAUAUUGGUCAAUGGCCGAGAGGCUGAACCAGCCAAGUCGCGUGAGGGAUGACGGCCCUACGGGUUGUAAACCUCUUUUGCCGGGGAGCAAAGAGCGGGACGCGUCCCGCCUCGAGAGUACCCGGAGAAAAAGCAUCGGCUAACUACGUGCCAGCAGCCGCGGUAAUACGUAGGGGGCAAGCGUUAUCCGGAUUUACUGGGUGUAAAGGGAGCGUAGAUGGCGUGCCAAGUCUGAUGUGAAAGGCCGGGGCUCAACCCCGGGACUGCAUUGGAAACUGGCAUGCUGGAGUGCCGGGGGGGCAAGCGGAAUUCCUAGUGUAGCGGUGAAAUGCGUAGAUAUUAGGAGGAACACCGGUGGCGAAGGCGGCUCGCUGGACGGUAACUGACGUUGAGGCUCGAAAGCGUGGGGAGCAAACAGGAUUAGAUACCCUUGUACG